This 407-nucleotide ribosomal RNA is filed under the name uncultured bacterium. Its description in RNAcentral is "partial 16S ribosomal RNA". It matches the Rfam family "Bacterial small subunit ribosomal RNA", at positions 30 to 526 of the family's 1533-position model. The record is from RNAcentral.
AUUGAACGCUGGCGGCAGGCCUAACACAUGCAAGUCGAGCGGAGCGGCGGACGGGUGAGUACUGCCUAGGAAUCUGCCUGGUAGUGGGGGAUAACGUCCGGAAACGGGCGCUUAUACCGCAUACUAUCAGAUGAGCCUAGGUCGGAUUAGCUAGGUGGUGGGGUAAAGGCCUACCAAGGCGACGAUCCGUCACUGGUCUGAGAGGAUGAUCAGUCAAACUGGAACUGAGACACGGUCCAGACUCCUACGGGAGGCAGAAGUGGGGAAUAUUGGACAAUGGGCGCAAGCCUGAUGCAGCCAUGCCGCGUGUGUGAAGAAGGCCUUCGGGUUGUAAAGCACUUUCAGCGGGGAGGCGUUACCCGCAGAAGAAGCACCGGCUAACUCCGUGCCAGCAGCCGCGGUAAUUC